This 484-nucleotide ribosomal RNA is filed under the name uncultured bacterium. RNAcentral describes it as "partial 16S ribosomal RNA". It matches the Rfam family "Bacterial small subunit ribosomal RNA", at positions 29 to 507 of the family's 1533-position model. The record is from RNAcentral.
AUUGAACGCUGGCGGCAUGCUUUACACAUGCAAGUCGAACGGCAGCGCGGGCUUCGGCCUGGCGGCGAGUGGCGAACGGGUGAGUAAUACAUCGGAACGUGCCCAGUAGUGGGGGAUAGCUCGGCGAAAGCCGGAUUAAUACCGCAUACGACCUGAGGGUGAAAGCGGGGGAUCUUCGGACCUCGCGCUAUUGGAGCGGCCGAUGGCAGAUUAGCUAGUUGGUGGGGUAAAGGCCUACCAAGGCGACGAUCGGUAGCUGGUCUGAGAGGACGACCAGCCACACUGGGACUGAGACACGGCCCAGACUCCUACGGGAGGCAGCAGUGGGGAAUUUUGGACAAUGGGCGAAAGCCUGAUCCAGCAAUGCCGCGUGUGUGAUGAAGGCCUUCGGGUUGUAAAGCACUUUUGGCGGGAACGAAAAGGACUGUGCCAAUACCACGGUUCGAUGACGGUACCCGCAGAAUAAGCACCGGCUAACUACGUG